RNAcentral lists this ribosomal RNA (385 nucleotides) under uncultured bacterium. RNAcentral's name for it is "bacterial SSU rRNA". It matches the Rfam family "Bacterial small subunit ribosomal RNA", at positions 29 to 415 of the family's 1533-position model. The record is from RNAcentral.
AUUGAACGCUGGCGGAAUGCUUUACACAUGCAAGUCGAACGGCAGCACGGGGGCAACCCUGGUGGCGAGUGGCGAACGGGUGAGUAAUGCAUCGGAACGUGCCCAGUCGUGGGGGAUAACUACUCGAAAGAGUGGCUAAUACCGCAUACGACCUGAGGGUGAAAGCGGGGGACCGAAAGGCCUCGCGCGAUUGGAGUGGCCGAUGUCAGAUUAGCUAGUUGGUGGGGUAAAGGCCUACCAAGGCAACGAUCUGUAGCUGGUCUGAGAGGAUGAUCAGCCACACUGGGACUGAGACACGGCCCAGACUCCUACGGGAGGCAGCAGUGGGGAAUUUUGGACAAUGGGGGCAACCCUGAUCCAGCCAUUCCGCGUGAGUGAAGAAGGC